UAUAAUACCCUUUUAGGACAUAUAACUAGUGUCCACCUUUGUACCAAGAAUUGUUUGUCAUGAUGCAAAACACUUAAUUCCUUUCUUUUUGGCCAAUAUGUAUGCUUUACUCUUAGUUUUAAAUGCCAUUUCCUGUAUGGAUUCCAAUAAUACCUUUAUAUUUGGUCCCAAAUUAUACCUUUCUGUCACUUGUACCAAACUUUUCAUCUCUUUCUACAUGAAUUAUUUUCUCUCUAUCACUC
RNAcentral lists this long non-coding RNA (242 nucleotides) under Lathyrus oleraceus (garden pea). RNAcentral's name for it is "Pisum sativum (pea) long non-coding RNA (PSAT_LNC031715)". Lineage: Eukaryota; Viridiplantae; Streptophyta; Magnoliopsida; Fabales; Fabaceae. The record is from RNAcentral.